Etheostoma spectabile (orangethroat darter) is the source of this 108-nucleotide long non-coding RNA. RefSeq lists it as uncharacterized. The record is from RefSeq and is a predicted model, not a curated record. The transcript has 3 exons. NCBI's taxonomy places the organism in Eukaryota, Metazoa, Chordata, Actinopteri, Perciformes, Percidae.
CAGAAAACUUAAUUUAUUAUCCUCUGGAAAAGAACUAAUUAAGCAACUCAAGGAACACUGAUGCUUGUAUCAACACUGAUUUUAUAGAUCACAUAGACUUUUCAGAUA